This 483-nucleotide ribosomal RNA is filed under the name uncultured Acidobacteriota bacterium. RNAcentral's name for it is "bacterial SSU rRNA". It matches the Rfam family "Bacterial small subunit ribosomal RNA", at positions 355 to 826 of the family's 1533-position model. Lineage: Bacteria; Pseudomonadati; Acidobacteriota. The record is from RNAcentral.
UGGGGAAUUGUUCGCAAUGGGCGCAAGCCUGACGACGCAACGCCGCGUGGAGGAUGAAGACCUUCGGGUCGUAAACUCCUUUCGACCGAGAUGAACGCCCCGCGACCUAACACGUCGCGGGAGUGACAGUAUCGAGGGAAGAAGCCCCGGCUAACUCUGUGCCAGCAGCCGCGGUAAUACAGGGGGGGCGAGCGUUGUUCGGAAUUACUGGGCGUAAAGGGUUCGUAGGUGGCCGGCUAAGUCAUACGUGAAAUCCCUCAGCUUAACUGGGGAACUGCGUCAGAUACUGGUCGGCUUGAGUGCGGGAGAGGAACGCGGAAUUCCAGGUGUAGCGGUGAAAUGCGUAGAUAUCUGGAGGAACACCGGGUGCGGAAGGCGGCGUUCUGGACUGCAACUGACACUGAGGAACGAAAGCCGAGGGGAGCGAAACGGGGAUUAGAUACCCCGGUAGUCCUGGCCCUAACGAUGAAUGCUUGGUGUGGC